This 427-nucleotide ribosomal RNA is filed under the name uncultured bacterium. RNAcentral's name for it is "bacterial SSU rRNA". It matches the Rfam family "Bacterial small subunit ribosomal RNA", at positions 355 to 774 of the family's 1533-position model. The record is from RNAcentral.
UGGGGAAUUUUGGACAAUGGGCGCAAGCCUGAUCCAGCAAUGCCGCGUGCAGGAUGAAGGCCUUCGGGUUGUAAACUGCUUUUGUACGGAGCGAAAAGGUCUGCCCUAAUACGGUGGGCUCAUGACGGUACCGUAAGAAUAAGCACCGGCUAACUUCGUGCCAGCAGCCGCGGUAAUACGAAGGGUGCAAGCGUUACUCGGAAUUACUGGGCGUAAAGCGUGCGUAGGUGGUCGUUUAAGUCUGUUGUGAAAGCCCUGGGCUCAACCUGGGAACUGCAGUGGAAACUGGACGACUAGAGUGUGGUAGAGGGUAGCGGAAUUCCUGGUGUAGCAGUGAAAUGCGUAGAUAUGCGGAGGAACACCGAUGGCGAAGGCAAUCCCCUGGACCUGUACUGACGCUCAUGCACGAAAGCGUGGGGAGCAAACA